UACCCAAAAAUAUUUCUUGGGAGAUUGAAGAAAAAUUUUGGAGACCAAGAAUUUUGGAAUGAAGAAGAUAUGAUUUUAGUUGGAAAGAUGUUGCCUGAUGUCCAGUCUUACGUCAGCAGAUUUCUCAAUGAACCCAUGUCCUGCCUCUCCUCUAUAUAGCCCCGUUCUUAUUGAAUCAACAGACAGAAGGAUUCCUUCGUCCCUCCCCCUCCAAAAUCCCCUCCACCUAACCCACCCAAACUUUUGUUGAUAGUAAUCACCUGUAUGGGUUCUAUGGAGGAAGAGAGAUUGCUCUUGGAAGAUGGGCUCAUAGAGAAUGGUAGCAGAGGACCAUACACAGGAGAUGGAUCGGUUGACAUUAAUGGGAAGCCUGUGUUGAAGCAGAACACUGGGAACUGGAGAGCAUGCCCCUUCAUUCUGGGUACUGAAGGCUGUGAGCGCUUGGCAUCCUGUGGAAUUGCAGCAAAUCUUGUUACUUAUCUCACAAGCAAACUACAUGAAGGGAAUGUCUCUGCUGCAAGAACUGUUACCACUUGGUCUGGCACUUGCUCGCUUGCACCUCUCAUAGGGGCUGUUUUAGCAGAUUCAUAUUGGGGAAGAUAUUGGACAAUUGCAGUUUUCUGCAUAAUCUACUUCAUUGGAAUGGGUACUUUGACCUUGUCAGCUUCAGUUCCUGCCUUCAGACCUCCUCCCUGCAGUGGUUCUGUUUGCACAGACACUACUCCAGCUCAGUAUGCUGUUUUCUUUUGCAGUCUAUAUUUGAUUGCUCUUGGGACUGGUGGAAUAAAACCUUGCGUCUCAUCCUUUGGGGCAGAUCAAUUUGAUGAUACUGAUCCGAGAGAGAGAGUGAAGAAAGGGUCUUUCUUCAAUUGGUUUUACUUGUCUAUCAAUAUUGGCGCUCUUAUAUCAAGUAGUUUUAUCGUUUGGAUUCAAGACAAUGCCGGUUGGGGACUAGGAUUUGGCAUUCCUACUCUGUUCAUGGGCCUUUCUGUUAUAAUUUUCUUUUCAGGCACACCCUUAUAUAGAUUUCAGAAACCAGGAGGAAGCCCUCUUACCAGAAUGUGCCAGGUUGUGGUUGCAUCUAUCAGGAAGUGGAACUUGGAGGUCCCUGAGGAUAGUUUUCUGCUGUAUGAACUACCAGAAGAAACCUCAGCAAUUGAAGGGAGCCGGAAAUUGGAGCAUAGUGAUGAACUCAGGUGCCUUGACAAAGCUGCUGUGGUGUCAGAUCUAGAUGUUAAACAAGAGGAAUUUUCCAAUUCAUGGAGGCUCUGUACUGUAACACAGGUGGAAGAACUGAAGAUUCUGAUACGCAUGAUUCCUAUUUGGGCUACUGGAAUAGUGUUUUCUGCUGUUUAUGCUCAGAUGUUCACCAUGUUUGUGGAGCAAGGGAUGGCUAUGGACACGACUAUCGGUUCCUUCACCAUUCCUCCGGCAUCAUUAUUGACAUUUGACAUAAUCAGUGUCAUUGUCUGGGUCCCGAUGUAUGACAGAAUCAUUGUUCCAAUUGCGAGAAAGUUUACUGGUAAGGAAAGAGGAUUCUCAGAGUUGCAAAGGAUGGGCAUCGGCCUCUUCAUAUCAAUUCUAGCAAUGUCUGCUGCUGCAAUUUUAGAGAUCAAGCGGUUAGAAAUUGCAAAAUCACUUGACUUGGUGGACCAAAAGGUGGCAGUACCUAUGAGUAUUUUAUGGCAGGUACCUCAGUAUUUUUUGGUUGGGGCUGCUGAAAUAUUUAUCUGCAUUGGACAGCUUGAGUUCUUUUAUGAACAAUCUCCUGAUGCCAUGCGCAGUUUAUGUAGUGCUUUGUCACUUCUCAUAACUGCAUUAGGGAAUUACCUUAGCUCCUUUAUCCUGACAAUUGUGACGACCAUAACAACUAAAGGUGGAAGCCCUGGGUGGAUACCCGAUAACUUGAAUGAGGGGCACCUUGAUUACUUCUUCUGGCUCCUAGCUGGUCUUGGCUUCUUGAACUUCAUGGUUUAUGUCUUCUGUGCCUCGAGGUACAAAUGCAAGAAGGCACCAUAGGAUCCUCCAAACAGGAUGUGUUAGUACUGCAGAACAAGCCAAAUACGCAUACUGUACAUAUGAUUCCAGGUAUGUACAAGAACUGAUUUUGAUCAUUCUGGAUCACCCGAAUUGCUUAAUUAUUAAAACCCCUGUUGAACCUCUGUAAUGGUGAAGUUGCAUGUAUAUCGAUACACCUCUGUACAAAUGAAUUGUCAUCUAAUGUAUAGGGCGUCUCUGUAGCCAAUUGAAUUUGGAGAUUUUCCCAGUGAAGUUUGCCUAUAGGCAAUUGAAGUGAACUUGCCAUUGCCACAUGAAGAGUGGGCAAAAAUUGGAUUUAACUUGUUCGGGCAACUUUCAAAACUUACAAUUAUUUUUGUAUCAAUUAUUAGUAUUUCAUCUAGUAUUCAAGUGCAGAUAUGAUC
RNA transcript from Macadamia integrifolia, 2423 nucleotides. It is a transcript of the gene named protein NRT1/ PTR FAMILY 8.3-like, with no coding region annotated. Lineage: Eukaryota; Viridiplantae; Streptophyta; Magnoliopsida; Proteales; Proteaceae. The transcript is spliced from 5 exons. The record is from RefSeq and is a predicted model, not a curated record.